This 1390-nucleotide ribosomal RNA is filed under the name Curtobacterium flaccumfaciens. RNAcentral's name for it is "bacterial SSU rRNA". It matches the Rfam family "Bacterial small subunit ribosomal RNA". The record is from RNAcentral. Lineage: Bacteria; Bacillati; Actinomycetota; Actinomycetes; Micrococcales; Microbacteriaceae.
UGCAGUCGAACGAUGAUGCCCAGCUUGCUGGGUGGAUUAGUGGCGAACGGGUGAGUAACACGUGAGUAACCUGCCCCUGACUCUGGGAUAAGCGUUGGAAACGACGUCUAAUACUGGAUAUGAUCACUGGCCGCAUGGUCUGGUGGUGGAAAGAUUUUUUGGUUGGGGAUGGACUCGCGGCCUAUCAGCUUGUUGGUGAGGUAAUGGCUCACCAAGGCGACGACGGGUAGCCGGCCUGAGAGGGUGACCGGCCACACUGGGACUGAGACACGGCCCAGACUCCUACGGGAGGCAGCAGUGGGGAAUAUUGCACAAUGGGCGAAAGCCUGAUGCAGCAACGCCGCGUGAGGGAUGACGGCCUUCGGGUUGUAAACCUCUUUUAGUAGGGAAGAAGCGAAAGUGACGGUACCUGCAGAAAAAGCACCGGCUAACUACGUGCCAGCAGCCGCGGUAAUACGUAGGGUGCAAGCGUUGUCCGGAAUUAUUGGGCGUAAAGAGCUCGUAGGCGGUUUGUCGCGUCUGCUGUGAAAUCCCGAGGCUCAACCUCGGGCUUGCAGUGGGUACGGGCAGACUAGAGUGCGGUAGGGGAGAUUGGAAUUCCUGGUGUAGCGGUGGAAUGCGCAGAUAUCAGGAGGAACACCGAUGGCGAAGGCAGAUCUCUGGGCCGUAACUGACGCUGAGGAGCGAAAGCAUGGGGAGCGAACAGGAUUAGAUACCCUGGUAGUCCAUGCCGUAAACGUUGGGCGCUAGAUGUAGGGACCUUUCCACGGUUUCUGUGUCGUAGCUAACGCAUUAAGCGCCCCGCCUGGGGAGUACGGCCGCAAGGCUAAAACUCAAAGGAAUUGACGGGGGCCCGCACAAGCGGCGGAGCAUGCGGAUUAAUUCGAUGCAACGCGAAGAACCUUACCAAGGCUUGACAUACACCGGAAACGGCCAGAGAUGGUCGCCCCCUUGUGGUCGGUGUACAGGUGGUGCAUGGUUGUCGUCAGCUCGUGUCGUGAGAUGUUGGGUUAAGUCCCGCAACGAGCGCAACCCUCGUUCUAUGUUGCCAGCGGGUUAUGCCGGGGACUCAUAGGAGACUGCCGGGGUCAACUCGGAGGAAGGUGGGGAUGACGUCAAAUCAUCAUGCCCCUUAUGUCUUGGGCUUCACGCAUGCUACAAUGGCCGGUACAAAGGGCUGCGAUACCGUAAGGUGGAGCGAAUCCCAAAAAGCCGGUCUCAGUUCGGAUUGAGGUCUGCAACUCGACCUCAUGAAGUCGGAGUCGCUAGUAAUCGCAGAUCAGCAACGCUGCGGUGAAUACGUUCCCGGGCCUUGUACACACCGCCCGUCAAGUCAUGAAAGUCGGUAACACCCGAAGCCGGUGGCCUAACCCUUGUGGAAGAGCCGUCG